UGUGUACUCCCUCCAUUCCAAAAUACUUGACUUCCAUUUGUCCAAAAAUGGAUGUACCUAUAUACUAAAACAUGUCUAGAUACAUAUAUAUUUUGACAAAUAGAAGGCAUGUAUUGUGCAACGGAGGGAGUAGAAU
Non-coding RNA from Triticum aestivum (bread wheat), 136 nucleotides. NCBI's taxonomy places the organism in Eukaryota, Viridiplantae, Streptophyta, Magnoliopsida, Poales, Poaceae. The record is from Rfam.